RNAcentral lists this long non-coding RNA (6239 nucleotides) under Nicotiana tabacum (common tobacco). Its description in RNAcentral is "long non-coding RNA (NTAB_LNC011841)". Lineage: Eukaryota; Viridiplantae; Streptophyta; Magnoliopsida; Solanales; Solanaceae. The record is from RNAcentral.
UUAUCUUACAUAAAUGAUGAACAAUAGACAACAAUUAAUCAUUUAAACUAAACUAAAUAAAAGGAAAACUACAAUGAAACAGAUACAAACAAAAACCAUAUCAAUCACUAAAGAGAAAUUAAAAUGAAAGCUAAAGCAUGAUAAAAAUGACAAAGCAUCCAAUAACCAAUGAACCCAUUAUAUCCCAAGAUUAAAAAAAAAGUGAGAACAAUGAAAGGAUAGAUAUGGACCUUAAGAUGCUACUUUGAAUUUUGAUUACUUUACAACAUCAAAAUCAAAAGAAGACUAAACUGUGAACAAGUACGAAUGGAUGCCGUACCGAAAAAUCGAUCGAAAACCUCGACUGUUCUCUCAACCCAGAGACGCUGCGUAUUUGCUGUUUUAUUUUAUGUGCUUCGAUGGUGUUUCACGGUGGUUGUGAGCUGAUUUAAGAGUGGUUUUCAUGGCUAAAAGUUGUUGGAAUUUUUAUUGGUUUUGGUCUAAGAGAGAGGUGGCUAACGGUGGAGUUUUACAUGACAGUUUGGUGGACUUUCGGACUGGUUUUUUAGUUGUUCCUUGGAGGAAAAGGACCUGGUCGGAGGUGGUGUAAUAAAGACGGAGAGAAGGCUGUUUCUAGGGUGUUUCAGGGACUGUUUGGGGUGAGUUUUUGAGCUGUUUAGCAGCUGGGUUUUGGUGGUCUUUUGGAGGUGUUUCUGGGUGAUUUAUGGACUGUUUUUGAAGCUGUUUGGUGGCUGUUUUGGGGGCUGAUUUGGGCAGUUUCUGGGGCGAGUUUGGCAGAGAUUCAUUGCUGGUUUUUGGCUGGAAAAGGCUGUUUUUCAGCUGCUUUUGGAGCUGUUUUUGGGAGUGAUUUUCGGCUAUUUUUCAGCUGGAUUUUUGGAGGUCGUUUUUAGUGGAUCCCCCGAGCCGAUUUCUGGUUAUAGAUCUUAUGCUAUUUGGAUGGUUGUUACCCUUGUGAGUGGUGGGACAAAGAGUGAGGGACAUGAGUGAGGGACAAGGAGUGGGGGAUAUGAGUUGGGGAUUGAGUGGGGACACGCGUGGGGAAAACGGGAGCGGGAAUGAUGGAGUGAGAAGUAAGGUGUUGGAGAGAUGAGUGGGAAAAUAUUCGAGCAUAGUCAAAAAUUAGGUGCUCACAGCAUGCACCUCUUUGCUUGGAAACACGAAGAGUUUUCAGGCAAAGAAAAGAUGAGCGAUAUGACUAAUAUUUAGCCAUACCAUUAUUCAAAAGGGAAGAGAUAAGAGAAAAGAGUGCGACCGAGUCUUGGUUAUGGACAAUCUACAUAUCCCGGGUUAUAAGGAAAUCAGGUCGUGUGUAGCUUAAGAAGAGUGAUGGAAUGAUGAGUUGGAGAGUCGAGUGAGGUUUCGUCGAGGCUCCGGUCUGUGGUCCUGUUAUUACAUCAAAAUUAAAAGAAACUAAACAAACCUAUCAGCUAUGAGUUACAAGAUUCCUAUUUAUAAGUCUUCUAAAACUUGAUCUUGAAUCUUGACUGGUUUUUUAUGCAGACUCUGAUCUGAACCUUGAUGCUUGCUAGCUGUGGAUGCCAGUUCAUUCUUCUACAUCUUCUUCUAAUCAAUGGGGAGUGCAAUGUUCGUGACUUUAGUCAUUUCUUGAGCAAUCCAUAUCUUUUCUAUCUAGUUCUGCAUUUGGAUUCAGUUCUUUUUCUUUUAUUUUCUUUAUUCUGGAUUGAGACUUCUUCUUUGGUCAUCUUGAACCAUGUGCCUCGAGGUAAAACCUACUCAAACACCAAAAUAAACAAACGAACAAAAAUUUUCUGCCUAGUUUUCACUAGGAAAUUUCAUGAAUUAUUGUAACAAAAUUCUAAACUACUUCUGUAUUAAAAACACUAAAGUGUCGGGAAUGGUGUAUCCUGGGAAAAUAUGGUAAUGAUUCUUGUCAAAAUGAUGUCUCAACUAAGGAUUGGUGUACCUUAUAUUGGAAAAAUGCAACUAAGGAUUGGUGUACCCUAUACUGGUAAGAAGACUAGUGAGUGGUGUACCAUACAUUUAAGAUCAAAUCAACUAGGGAGUGGUGUACCAUAUGUUGGAAAACAUAGCUAGAGAUUGGUGUACCCUUUACUGGUAAGGAGAUCAGGGAGUGAUGUACCCUGCCUUUAAGAUCAAAUCAACUAGGGAAUGGUGUACCCUAUGUUAGAAAACACGGCUAGGGAUUGGUAUACCCUAUACUGGUAAGGAGAUCAGGGAGUGGUGUACAUCAACUAGGGAGUGGAGACCCUAUGUUGGAAAUCAUAUAUAGGGAUUGGUGUACCCUAUACUGGUAAGGAUACUAAGGAGUAGUGACUCUAUAUUACGGAAAAAGAAAAUGUAACCAGGGGUUGAUACCCUGUAUUACUGAUAAGAAAAUAUAACCAGGGGUUGGUGCCCUGUAUUACUGAAAAGGAAAUGUAACCAAGGGUUGGUGCCCUGUAUUACUGAAAAGAAAAUGUAACCAGGGAUUGAUACCCUGUAUUACUGAUAAAAUGUUGAAUCCCCUAGGCGAAAAGGUUCUACCUGGGUUAAACUACGAAAAGCAAGCCUGGGCGAAGAGUACUUCUACCCGAAAAUAUGAGCUGGAUCCCCCUAGGGAAAAAGGUUCUACCUGGGUUAAGCUACGAAAAGCAAGCCUGGGUGAAGAGUACUUCUACCCGAAAAUAUGAGCUGGAUCCCCAUAGGCGAAAAGGUUCUACCUGGGUUAAGCUAUGAAAAGCAAGUCUGGGCGAAGAGUAGUUCUACCCGAAAAUAUGAGCGGGACCCCCUAGGGAAAAAUGUUAUAUCUAAGUUAAGCUACAUGAAACAACCUAAGCGAAGAGUACUUCUACCCGGAACUAUGAGUUGGAUCCCCCUAGGCGAAAUGGUUCUACCUGGGUUAAUCUACGUAAAAGAGCCUGGACGAAGAGUACUUCUACCAGGAAAUAUGAGCUGGAUCCCCCUAGGCAAAAAGGUUCUACCUAGGUUAAGCUACGAAAAGCACCCUGAGCGAAGAGUACUUAUACCCGGAACUAUGAACUGGAUCCCCCUAGGUGGAAAGGUUCUACCUGGGUUAAGCUACGUAAAACAUCCAUAGCAAAGAGUACUUCUACCCAAAACUAUGAGUUGGAUCCCCCUGGGUGAAAAGGUUCUACUUGGAUUAAGCUACGUAAAAUAUCCUGAGUGAAGAGUACUUUUACACGGAACUAUAAGCUGGAUCCCCUUAGGCAAAAAGGUUCUACCUAGGUUAAGCUACAUAAAACUUCCUGAGCGGAGAGUACUUCUAUCCGAAACUAUGAGCUGGAUCCCUCUAGGCGAAAAGGUUCUACCUGGGUUAAGCUACGUAAAACAUCCUGAGCGAAGAGUACUUCUACCCGGAACUAUAAGCUGGAUCCCCCAAGGCGACAAGGUUAUACCUGGGUUAAGCUACGAAAAUGGGAGGUAUGAAUAGUAGUGACGCAUGCUGAAAAUAAAAGAAAAUGGAGAUUUUGAGGAACUUAACUUUUAUGACAUUCGUCCUUUAGGAAUUGCCAUUCUGCACUGCUUUGUUCCUGCUGCAAACAAAGAAAAAUUGUGAGUAUUCAAAGUGGUGAUCAGUUUGUGGCCUUGAUGCCCUUAUUGAGGUUGGGUGUCUUUUUAAUGUAUCUGUUCGCUUCAAUGUAUCUGUUCGCUUCAAAGUUUUGGGUUCUAUUCCCUAGUAGAGUCGCCAGAACUGUCACACCCUUUUUUUUCCGAGGAAUAUAUAUGUAUGGAUUGUUAUGGGUUAAAGAGUUUUUUCAAUUAAAGUGAUAUUUUUGAAAUAUGAAUUAUUUUAUUAUUCAGAGUCGCCACUUGGAAUUUGAUUUUUGGGUGUUCCAAGUCACCUUUUAUUUGAAUCUCUAUUUAAAGGAAGAUUUGACUCGUUUAUUAUUGGUCUGCGAAAAUAAAGUCCGGGUAAGGAUUUUUGUUGACCGGGGAGAAGGUGUAUUCCCCGAGUCCGUGGUUCUAGCACGGUCGCUUUAUUGACUACAACUUGGCUUGAAUUAAUUUUGGAUAAACUGUGAUUUAUUGGUUUUCAUGUUUUAUCUAUCCGCUUUUAAUUAUUAAAAUAUGGAUUUAUAUUUGAAACGAAUCACCUGUGUGAAUCUGUUUUAUUUAUUGUGCCAAAAUUAUGUCACGCGUAUGUGUACACAAUUAAUAGCAUUUUAUUAUAUUAAGAUUGUUUUGGCCAAAGUUGCGCAAAUACAUACUUCGAUUUUAAUUUUGGAAAUCACAAUUAUGCCACGUGAAUGUAUACGUAAUCGCGAUAAACUAAUUAAAAGCACGCCCAAAGUACUCUAUCAGUGUUCAUUAUUCUAGUAAACAUAUAGCCCAAAGACACUUUUUAAUUCUCGUUGAACUAAUUCGUUAUUUUAAUGGGUCAAUACAGCAAGACAAACCCAAACCUCUAUUCGCUCUCUUAGUCCCAACUCCACACACUCAAUUUACCCAAUUAAACAAAUUAUAUUAAACCCCAAUUAUCUUACCUAAAUGAUGAACAAUACACAACAAUUAAUCAUUUAAACUAAACUAAAUAAAAGAAAAACUACAAUGAAACAGAUACAAACAAAAACCAUAUCAAUCACUAAAGAGAAUUUAAAAUGAAAGCUAAAGCAUGAUAAAAACGACAAAGCAUCCAAUAACCAAUGAACCCAUUAUAUCCCAAGAUUAAAAAAAUAAAGUGAGAACAAUGAAAGGAUAGAUAUGGACUUUAAGAUGUUACUUUGAAUUUUGAUUACUUUACAACAUCAAAAUCAAAAGAAGGCCAAACCGCGAACAAGUACGAACUGAUGCCGUGCCGGAAAAUCGAUCGAAAACCUCGACUGUUCUCUCAACCCAUAAACGUUACGUAUUUACUGUUUUAUUUUAUGUGCUUCGAUGGUGUUUCACUGUGGUUGUGAGCUGAUUUUAGACUGGUUUUCAUGGCUAAAAGUUGUUGGGUUUUUUUACUGGUUUUGGUCUAAGAGAGAGGUGGCUAACGGUGGAGUUUUAUAUGACGGUUUGGUAGACUUUCGGACUGGUUUUUCAGCUAUUCCUUGAAGGAAAAGGAGCUGGUCGGGGGUGGUGUAAUUACAAUGGAGAGAGGGCUAUUUCUAUGGUAUUUUAGGGACUGUUUGGGAUGAGUUUUUGAGUUGUUUAGCAGCUGGGAUUUGGUGGUCUUAUGGAGGUGUUUCCGGGUGAUUUAUGGACUGUUUUUGAAGCUGUUUGGUGGCUGUUUUGGGGGCUGAUUUGGGCAGUUUCUGGGGCGAGUUUGGUAGAGAUUCAUUGCUGAUUUUUGGCUGGAAAAGGGGCUAUAUUUUAGCUAUUUUGGGGGGUGAUUUUUGGUUUUUUUUCAGCUGGAGUCUUGGAGGUCAUUUUUAGUGGAUCCCCUGAGCCGAUUUCUGGUUGUAGAUCUUAUGCUAUUUGGAUGGUUGUUACCUUAGAAGAUAGACCAUGUUUGGAUGGUUUUCUACGGCAGAAAUGGGGUAUGGUGUUUGUGAGUGGAGGAUAAAGAGUGGGGGGACAAAUAGUAGGGGACAUGAGUGGGGGAAUGCGUGGAGUGGGGACACGCGUGGGGAAAAUGGGAGCGGGAAUGAUGGAGUGAUAAGUGAGGUAUUGGUGAGAUGAGUGGGAAACAAUUCAAGCAUAGUCAAAAAUUAGGUGUUCACACAACCUAUGAACCAAGUAAUUGUCAAUGGUGAUUGUAAUCGCAGAUAAAAUUUUUUAGAUCAAUGUCGUGUCUCCAAUAUCAAAAGCAAUCGCUCAAUUUCUUAUUUUUUGUUCAAAUCCUGAUGAGAUCCCAAUGGAGAUAAGCUACAAUGUGUGGGACCCAUCUAAAAGGAAAUAAAGAAAAAGAUGGAAAAAGUUGCAAGUUGGGCGGCAGAUGAAAAAAAUUGCAAGUUGAGCGGUUGAAAUUUACAAGUCACAAAAAAACAUGUUUUGACCGAUGGAAAUUUGCACUGCAAAUUGCAAAGAAUAAACCAUUCUGAUUGGUCCAAUGGUAGGCAAGUUUUUCUAUAAAUAGCAGGCUUCAUUUCUCUUUUGAAAUACACCAAAAAAUGAGAGAAGCCAAGCAGAAAGCAAGGCAGUGAGAGUAAUCCACAGAUUGUUGUAUGUGAGAUAAGUUGUGAGUGGUAGUAAUAUUAUAGUGAAGUAUUUAAAAUAAAGAGUGUUAUUUCUUUUGAAGUUGUAGUUGUCUUUUGACACUACCAAGUUGUAAUAUUAUAGUAGUAUUAUAUUACUUCACUCGAGUAUUAUAUUUUACCCCGAUAAAAGAUUUG